UGCUUCUUUUGUUUUUCAUGUGGGAGAAAAAUAUGACCUUUACGCAAGAUCUUCUUUUGGCGGCACUGAGCUACUAGUGCAAGGAGAAGUCCUAUCCCACCCAGAGGACAUAUCAGCAGAGCCAUGCUGUUAACCACAUGCAGUCCUGAUUGUGAUGGUGUUCGUCUUUCCUGGCCAUUUCUAAAGCAAAGUGAGAAUGGAUGCUCUGGCCAGUCACACUGCCACCUAUGACAACCAUUUUGCCUUGGGUGCUUCUCUGCUGCUCAAGAGGCAAAUGCUGACAGCGCUGUCCUUGCUCUUCAUCGCUGUCCUUGCUCUUCUUCAUCUCUCUGCACUCAGCCCUGCUUUUGUUGCCAAGGAAUCACAUAACGGAUGUGAAGAACCACAGGUCUUUCAAGGAGUUCAAGAUGCAAGGGCAACUGUAGGAAGAGUAUUCUCGUACCCCAUAUCACCAUUUGCUUUUCAGGGAAAAAUUACUCACUACAAGGUAAUGCUCAGCUCCUGUCUCCUUGUUAAGCAUCCUGUCAGGUAGGCACACUAAUUUGUUGAAAUAGUUUAGUUCAAUUGCAGAGUAGGCUGCUGACAAAAUGCAGAGCAGGCGAUGGCAUUUGAGGAGGGAAACAGAGCAC
Varanus komodoensis (Komodo dragon) is the source of this 629-nucleotide long non-coding RNA. RefSeq lists it as uncharacterized. Lineage: Eukaryota; Metazoa; Chordata; Lepidosauria; Squamata; Varanidae. The record is from RefSeq and is a predicted model, not a curated record. The transcript has 3 exons.